GGGUAACCGUGGUAAUUCUAGAGCUAAUACAUGCUGAAAAUCCGGACUCGGGAGGGGAUGUGUUUAUUAGAUUCAAAGCCAACGCCCCCCGGGCUCACUGGUGAUUCAUGAUAACCGCUCGAAUCGCACGGCCUUGCGCCGGCGAUGGUUCAUUCAAAUUUCUUCCCUAUCAACUUUCGAUGUUUGGGUAGUGGCCAAACAUGGUUGCAACGGGUAACGGAGGGUUAGGGCUCGACCCCGGAGAAGGAGCCUGAGAGACGGCUACUACAUCCAAGGAAGGCAGCAGGCGCGCAAAUUACCCAAUCCCGACACGGGGAGGUAGUGACAAUAAAUACCGAUAUAGGGCUCUUUUGGGUCUUAUAAUUGGAAUGAGUACAAUUUAAAUCCCUUAACGAGGAACAAUUGGAGGGCAAGUCUGGUGCCAGCAGCCGCGGUAAUUCCAGCUCCAAUAGCGUAUAUUAAAGUUGUUGUGGUUAAAAAGCCCGUAGUUGAACCUUGGGCCUGGCUGGCCGGUCCGCCUCACCGCGUGCACUGGUCCGGCCGGGCCUUUCCCUCCGCGGAACCCCAUGCCCUUCGCUGGGCGUGGCGGGGAAACGGGACUUUUACUUUGAAAAAAUUAGAGUGCUCCAGGCAGGCCUAUGCUCGAAUACAUUAGCAUGGAAUAAUGAAAUAGGACGCGCGGUUCUAUUUUGUUGGUUUCUAGGACCGCCGUAAUGAUUGAUAGGGACAGUCGGGGGCGUCAGUAUUCAACCGUCAGAGGUGAAAUUCUUGGACCGGUUGAAGACUAACUACUGCGAAAGCAUUCGCCAAGGAUGUUUUCAUUAAUCAGGGACGAAAGCUAGGGGAUCGAAGACGAUCAGAUACCGUCGUAGUCUUAGCCAUAAACUAUGCCGACUAGGGAUCGGGCGAUGUUAUUCUUUGACUCGCUCGGCACCUUACGAGAAAUCAAAGUGCUUGGGCUCCA
Molecule: ribosomal RNA, 964 nt
Filed under: Ophiocordyceps acroasca
Lineage: Eukaryota; Fungi; Ascomycota; Sordariomycetes; Hypocreales; Ophiocordycipitaceae
Description: SSU rRNA
Rfam family: Eukaryotic small subunit ribosomal RNA
Source: RNAcentral